CGGAUGAACGCUAGCUACAGGCUUAACACAUGCAAGUCGAGCGGUUUGUGCUUUUGCACAUUCAGCGGCAGACGGGUGAGUAACACGUAUCUAACCUUCCCCUUACUUGGGCAUAGCCUCUGGAAACGGAGAUUAAUUUCCGAUGUGGUGUACAUUUCGCAUGUUUUGCGCACCAAAGAUUUAUCGGUAAGGGAUGGGGAUGCGCUCCAUUUAAGUUGUAGGUAGGGUAAUGGCCUACCUAGCCUAUGAUGGAUAGGGGUUCUGAGAGGAAGGUCCCCCACAUUGGAACUGCGACACGGUCCAAACUCCUACGGGAGGCAGCAGUGAGGAAUAUUGGUCAAUGGCCGGAAGGCUGAACCAGCCAAGUAGCGUGCAGGAUGACUGCCUUAUGGGUUGUAAACUGCUUUUUUACGGGAAUAAUUAUGAUCACGUGUGAUUAUUUGCAUGUACCGUAAGAAUAAGGAUCGGCUAACUCCGUG
Molecule: ribosomal RNA, 479 nt
Filed under: uncultured bacterium
Lineage: Bacteria
Description: bacterial SSU rRNA
Rfam family: Bacterial small subunit ribosomal RNA
Source: RNAcentral